GCGUGAAGGAUCAUUA
This 16-nucleotide ribosomal RNA is filed under the name Protoparmeliopsis garovaglii. RNAcentral describes it as "partial 18S ribosomal RNA". The record is from RNAcentral. Lineage: Eukaryota; Fungi; Ascomycota; Lecanoromycetes; Lecanorales; Lecanoraceae.